CCUACGGGGGGCAGCAGUGAGGAAUAUUGGUCAAUGGACGAGAGUCUGAACCAGCCAAGUAGCGUGAAGGAUGACUGCCCUAUGGGUUGUAAACUUCUUUUAUAAAGGAAUAAAACGAGGCACGUGUGCCUUUUUGCAUGUACUUUAUGAAUAAGGAUCGGCUAACUCCGUGCCAGCAGCCGCGGUAAUACGGAGGAUCCGAGCGUUAUCCGGAUUUAUUGGGUUUAAAGGGAGCGUAGAUGGGUUGUUAAGUCAGUUGUGAAAGUUUGGGGCUCAACCGUAAAAUUGCAAUUGAUACUGGCAGUCUUGAGUAGAGUUGAGGUAGGCGGAAUGCGUGGUGUAGCGGUGAAAUGCUUAGAUAUCACGAAGAACCCCGAUUGCGAAGGCAGCAUACUAAACUGCCACUGACAUUGAGGCUCGAAAGUGUGGGUAUCAAACAGGAUUAGAUACCCGGGUAGUC
RNAcentral lists this ribosomal RNA (460 nucleotides) under uncultured bacterium. RNAcentral's name for it is "partial 16S ribosomal RNA". It matches the Rfam family "Bacterial small subunit ribosomal RNA", at positions 338 to 795 of the family's 1533-position model. The record is from RNAcentral.